Patella vulgata (common limpet) is the source of this 865-nucleotide long non-coding RNA. RefSeq lists it as uncharacterized. The transcript has 6 exons. The record is from RefSeq and is a predicted model, not a curated record. NCBI's taxonomy places the organism in Eukaryota, Metazoa, Mollusca, Gastropoda, Patellidae.
UGUUUCGUGUAAUUGGUUUGUUAUUGACUGUGGGGUGUACCUUGGCUACUGAAGGUCCAGUUAGAUGGUUGGAUAAUUCGUGUGUUAUUGAGACAAGCCAGGGAACGAUUGAUUUAACACCUCUAGGAAAUACAGAUAAUACUCCCAGAUUUAAAGACCUACAAGGGACCACUGAUCAUUUGUAUUCUUAUUCCUGGAAUCCAUGUUUACCAUUUAAUGAGGGCACGUGUUCAAAUGUUGCAAUCUGUCAGUCAGGCCCAGGUCAGCAGUUUUUCUUUAUCCUGGGUGUGCAAGAUAAAAUAAGUUAUGAAGAUGGAACUGAUCAGAGUGGAUCAUUAAUCUACCAUACUUAUGGAGAUAUCGAAAGAACGACAACUAUACGUCUGACAUGCGACCCAACACAAGAAGGUAACUUAAUAGUUACCGGUGAACAACCAUACCAGUCAGGAAAAUACUUUUUUGAAUUAAGAAGUCAAUAUGCCUGCUUUCAAGAACCAACGACAACUUUUUUACCGCCAACAUCAGGUGUUGUCACUGCUAGUAUGAGUCCAUCUCCUAAUCCAGAUAUUUACAAUGCGAAAACUAUUGUAUGGUUACUCUUCUCUAUACAGAUAUCUCUUAUAAUUCUCAUUGUUAUGUUAAUUAUUGGUUUCGUCACAAGAAAACAGUCAACAGUUCCAGAAAAAGACACAGAAAAAUCACAAUUUGCUUACAAAAGUAUGAACUGACAUUCGUAGGACAUGGUAUUCACAAGAAGUGAGCGAAAAUAACUGCAACUGUAACAGAUUAUUCUCGCUUUUUUUUCAUGGAAAUAUACGAAAUUUCUACAUUCUAAGUUAUUUAUUAUUGUGGCAAUUCUAAAUGG